This 253-nucleotide ribosomal RNA is filed under the name uncultured bacterium. Its description in RNAcentral is "partial 16S ribosomal RNA". It matches the Rfam family "Bacterial small subunit ribosomal RNA", at positions 524 to 776 of the family's 1533-position model. The record is from RNAcentral.
UACGGAGGGUGCGAGCGUUGUCCGGAAUCACUGGGCGUAAAGGGCGCGUAGGCGGUCCGGUAAGCGCGCGGUGAAAGCCCGGGGCUCAACCCCGGGUCGGCCGUGCGGACUGCGGGACUGGAGCACUGUAGAGGCAGGCGGAAUUCCGGGUGUAGCGGUGGAAUGCGUAGAGAUCCGGAAGAACACCGGUGGCGAAGGCGGCCUGCUGGGCAGUAGCUGACGCUGAGGCGCGACAGCGUGGGGAGCAAACAGG